This 727-nucleotide ribosomal RNA is filed under the name uncultured bacterium. RNAcentral's name for it is "bacterial SSU rRNA". It matches the Rfam family "Bacterial small subunit ribosomal RNA", at positions 771 to 1498 of the family's 1533-position model. The record is from RNAcentral.
AACAGGAUUAGAUACCCUGGUAGUCCACGCCGUAAACGAUGUCGACUUGGAGGUUGUGCCCUUGAGGCGUGGCUUCCGGAGCUAACGCGUUAAGUCGACCGCCUGGGGAGUACGGCCGCAAGGUUAAAACUCAAAUGAAUUGACGGGGGCCCGCACAAGCGGUGGAGCAUGUGGUUUAAUUCGAUGCAACGCGAAGAACCUUACCUACUCUUGACAUCCAGAGAACUUAGCAGAGAUGCUUUGGUGCCUUCGGGAACUCUGAGACAGGUGCUGCAUGGCUGUCGUCAGCUCGUGUUGUGAAAUGUUGGGUUAAGUCCCGCAACGAGCGCAACCCUUAUCCUUUGUUGCCAGCGGUUAGGCCGGGAACUCAAAGGAGACUGCCAGUGAUAAACUGGAGGAAGGUGGGGAUGACGUCAAGUCAUCAUGGCCCUUACGAGUAGGGCUACACACGUGCUACAAUGGCGCAUACAAAGAGAAGCGACCUCGCGAGAGCAAGCGGACCUCAUAAAGUGCGUCGUAGUCCGGAUUGGAGUCUGCAACUCGACUCCAUGAAGUCGGAAUCGCUAGUAAUCGUAGAUCAGAAUGCUACGGUGAAUACGUUCCCGGGCCUUGUACACACCGCCCGUCACACCAUGGGAGUGGGUUGCAAAAGAAGUAGGUAGCUUAACCUUCGGGAGGGCGCUUACCACUUUGUGAUUCGUGACUGGGGUGAAGUCGUAACAAGGUA